AGUGAACGCUGGCGGUAGGCCUAACACAUGCCAGUCGAACGGCAGCACAGUAAGAGCUUGCUCUUACGGGUGGCGAGUGGCGGACGGGUGAGGAAUACAUCGGAAUCUACUUUUUCGUGGGGGAUAACGUAGGGAAACUUACGCUAAUACCGCAUACGACCUACGGGUGAAAGCAGGGGAUCUUCGGACCUUGCGCGAUUGAAUGAGCCGAUGUCGGAUUAGCUAGUUGGCGGGGUAAAGGCCCACCAAGGCGACGAUCCGCAGCUGGUCUGAGAGGAUGAUCAGCCACACUGGAACUGAGACACGGUCCAGACUCCUACGGGAGGCAGCAGUGGGGAAUAUUGGACAAUGGGCGCAAGCCUGAUCCAGCCAUACCGCGUGGGUGAAGAAGGCCUUCGGGUUGUAAAGCCCUUUUGUUGGGAAAGAAAAGCAGCAGGUUAAUACCCCGCUGUUCUGACGGUACCCAAAGAAUAAGCACCGGCUAACUUCGUG
Molecule: ribosomal RNA, 492 nt
Filed under: uncultured bacterium
Lineage: Bacteria
Description: partial 16S ribosomal RNA
Rfam family: Bacterial small subunit ribosomal RNA
Source: RNAcentral